AAGGGACGUAUUCGCACGUCGUUUAAGACCAAGUCAAAGAUUUUUCCCGAAAAGACUUAAGCUAUCGAGGUUGAACGUGUACGAGGAGGCGAAGGUGUUGUUGGGAAAUGAUCAUUAAUAAGUAGUUAGGUAGCCCAAAGUAGUAUGUCUUCAUACAUACUAUUUUGUCUUGGACUCUUCCGCUGCAGUAGAACUAUGUUCUAGGAAUGUAUGAUUUCAGUCUUGACACUCUGACUUUCUUUUGACUAUGUACCCAUUUGCCUUCGAAACUAUUUCCUUGAGUUGAAUUGUUUCUGUUAUGCUUAA
Long non-coding RNA from Salvia hispanica, 306 nucleotides. RefSeq lists it as uncharacterized. The record is from RefSeq and is a predicted model, not a curated record. Lineage: Eukaryota; Viridiplantae; Streptophyta; Magnoliopsida; Lamiales; Lamiaceae.